AGCCUCGAGGUGUUCUACACGUUGGACUGCAAAUCUUGAGUAGCAGGUUAGCCCCUGCCGAGGCUU
Molecule: transfer RNA, 66 nt
Filed under: Apogonichthyoides taeniatus (twobelt cardinal)
Lineage: Eukaryota; Metazoa; Chordata; Actinopteri; Kurtiformes; Apogonidae
Description: tRNA-Cys
Source: RNAcentral